UUCUUAUAGAUAUUAUUAUAAGUAAAAUCUGCUCAAUGUAUAAUAAAUAGCCGCAGAAUUUUACUGUGCUAAGGUAGCAUAAUCACUUGCCUUUUAAUUAAAGACUAGAAUGAAAGACAUCACAAUUUAACUUCUAUUUUAAAUUAAAAUUAUUAAAUUAUUUUAAGUAUAAAAAAAUACUUAUUAAAAAAAAAGACGACAAGACCCUAUCGAACUUUACUAGAGUUAAGCUGGGGUAGCUUUUUAAAAAUUACUUUAAUUAUAAAUAUUUAUAUUAAUAAUCCAUUACAAAUGAAAUAUAAACAAGUUACCGUAGGGAUAACAGCGUAAUUAUAUUUUAAAGCUCUUAUUUAAAAUACAGCUUACGACCUCGAUGUUGAAUAUUUACCUUUAUAAUGCAAUAAUUAUACUAAGGAGGUCUGUUCGACCUUUAAAAUUUUACA
RNAcentral lists this ribosomal RNA (443 nucleotides) under Megadictyna thilenii. RNAcentral's name for it is "partial 16S ribosomal RNA". The stretch from base 195 to 443 matches the Rfam family "Bacterial large subunit ribosomal RNA", at positions 2079 to 2600 of the family's 2925-position model. RNAcentral also lists the same sequence under 1 other name. The record is from RNAcentral. Lineage: Eukaryota; Metazoa; Arthropoda; Arachnida; Araneae; Nicodamidae.